AGAGUGUCAAACUAUCAAGAGACUCUUCCAUCGCCCUCUGCCCCCAUCAACUUACUUCAGGAUCGGUGAAAUGGGAAUCAAAUGAGGAUGUCUGCUGGUAUCGGGAGGGUUUAAAGAACUGGAAGUUUGCCUACAGUGAUACGGUGUGUGCUACAAAGGAAUCUAUGUGCUGAGGAGACUAGAAAAUGAAAAGCCGUGGUUGUUUCCAGGCAUUUCUACAAAAGCAGGGCUGAUUCAGAAACACCGGACUAAACCAAGUGAUGGAACUGGAAGAGAGCGCUUGGGUUCAGGUAGCCAUUGCGGGAAAACCAAAACAAGACCAAGAAAACCCAACGCUACCAGCAAAAUUCAUUUUGUUUCUGCUCAGACAUUGGAUGGAAGGACUAAAUUACCAAGCAGACACACAUUACACAGACAGG
Molecule: long non-coding RNA, 419 nt
Organism: Mauremys mutica (yellowpond turtle)
Lineage: Eukaryota; Metazoa; Chordata; Testudines; Geoemydidae
Exons: 3
Source: RefSeq, a predicted model, not a curated record